GAUGAACGCUGGCGGCGUGCCUAACACAUGCAAGUCGAACGGACGGACGCGAAGCUUGCGGCGUUGAUGUUUGCGGCGGGCGGGUGUAUAACGCGUGGAUCACCUACCUGUCAUUCGGAUAUAAUUACGGAAAACCGGCUAUAAUACCAUAUGAUAUUUUGAACCGCGGGGUUCAAAGGAAAAAGACGGCCUUGGGGGCUGUACUAGCUGCAUACCGGCUGCAUUAGCUAGUUGGUACGGUAACGGCUUACCAAGGCUACGAUGCGUAGCCGACCUGAGAGGGGGAUCGGCCACACGGGAACGGAGACACGGUCCAGACGCCUACGGGAGGGAGCAGUCGGGAAUCUGCGGCAAUGGGCGAAAGCCUGACGGAGCAACGCCGCGUGUGUGAUGACGGUCUUCGGAUCGGAAAACCCUGUUAUUGGGUAAGAACAGAUGUGGACUUAAACGUGGCCAUCGUGACGGUACCUAAUCAGAAAGCAACGGCUAACUACGUG
This 497-nucleotide ribosomal RNA is filed under the name uncultured bacterium. Its description in RNAcentral is "partial 16S ribosomal RNA". It matches the Rfam family "Bacterial small subunit ribosomal RNA", at positions 28 to 507 of the family's 1533-position model. The record is from RNAcentral.